UUAUCGAUAAUAUUUUUUAAAAAGAAAAAUCACCUCCCAGCUACCCGAUGGGGAAGUCAAAUCCACCUGGCAAAAGUCAAGUGUUUUGGAUCGUCUUGGGGGGUCAGUGCGGCCAAGAACAAUUCAGGCAAAGAAAGCACUUGUCUUGGCUUGGAUUCCCCUGAAGAUACACCCUGGGCUCUCGGGAGGUUUACUGAGAGUAUCUUUAAGGGACAGCGUGGUAAGGUGAGGAGGCAGUGAGGCAGGUGAGCAGCCCGCCCAGCCUUGUCCAGCGUCAAGGACUUUUUUUUUUGCCUCUGCAGAGAGUGUGGAUGACCUUGACAGAGAUGUAGGUCUGACGUUUGUUUGACUUGUGGCUGAUGAGCGGUUCCCAGAGUGGUGGGCGGAAAUGUACCUCCGUCCUGCGGGAGUUCCGGUGACAUCCGCUGCAGCAUCUUCGGAAGCAGGAAAUCAUCAGACAUAGCUUGGGAAUCGUGGGGGUUUGCUGCUAAAGUAGCGUACUGUCAGGAACGUCAAACCAUGCUGGAUGGGGGAGUGGACGGGUCUACACUUGCUGGUGGUACAAGCCCAUAGCGCCUGUGACUGGGUGUAGGAGCCCGAGGUGGUGUAGCAUUGGAAGUGGGUGCUCUGCUGGGUCAGCUAGGCUUGCGAGUGUGACCUCCACACACCAGAGAACUAGAGAGGAAUAAAAAGCCACAGAUGAGGGACUGAGGAUAGCCGCCAAUCAUGUAUCUGAUGGAUACAGGUCUCCCUCAUCCUCUCAAAUCCCUCUGACUCAAAUGCGAUUUACAUAGGGGCCUUUGUGAACAGGAGACCCCUCUAUGGGGCUGCCUCUGCUUCCUUCCCACCCCUCCUGAGCAUGCGCAGACAACGGACGCACAUGGGGACAUCACUGUUUCGCCGUGCCCUUAAUUGCACAGAUCUCCUGCUCGAGGUUCUGACUAAUGGAACUUCCCAGAAAUGGUCCUCGGUGAACAGCCAGCAGUCUGAAGCACAGAAUAAAUGCAGCCAUCGGAGUGGAAUAUUUGAAAGACCAAAGCUUAUGUGGAUUCUUCCUCAUGGGGUGACAGAAAUGGGCUCCCAUCAGGUUCAGAAGCACGCACAAUAAACCCAACGAGAGUGACAACCCGUGUUUAAUAAACUGAUCAAAUGGGGAGAAAAA
Long non-coding RNA from Rattus norvegicus (Norway rat), 1162 nucleotides. RefSeq lists it as uncharacterized. The record is from RefSeq and is a predicted model, not a curated record. NCBI's taxonomy places the organism in Eukaryota, Metazoa, Chordata, Mammalia, Rodentia, Muridae.